This 250-nucleotide ribosomal RNA is filed under the name uncultured bacterium. Its description in RNAcentral is "partial 16S ribosomal RNA". It matches the Rfam family "Bacterial small subunit ribosomal RNA", at positions 524 to 773 of the family's 1533-position model. The record is from RNAcentral.
UACGUAGGUGGCGAGCGUUGUCCGGAAUUACUGGGUGUAAAGGGCGUGUAGGCGGGAUUGUAAGUCAGAUGUGAAAUUCCAGGGCUUAACUCUGGAUAUGCACCUGAAACUAUGGUUCUUGAGUACUGGAGAGGGAAGCGGAAUUCCUAGUGUAGCGGUGAAAUGCGUAGAUAUUAGGAGGAACACCAGUGGCGAAGGCGGCUUUCUGGACAGUAACUGACGCUGAGGCGCGAAAGCGUGGGGAGCAAAC